UCGUACCAAAUGUGUUGAGGCCAUGUGAGGGUUGUCGGCUGACUUCUCAAAAGUCGUGCACGCCGGAGCAUGUCCUCUCACAUAACACAAUCCAUCUCACCCUUUGUGCACCACCGCGUGGGCACCCUUUGGGAUCAGGUCGAUCUCUCGGGGGACUCGCGUUUUCACACAACACCCCCCCUUUUAAAAAGUGUAGAAUGACCUCAUUUAUGUGAUCAAUA
This 221-nucleotide unclassified non-coding RNA is filed under the name uncultured Lactarius. RNAcentral's name for it is "sequence contains ITS1". The record is from RNAcentral. Lineage: Eukaryota; Fungi; Basidiomycota; Agaricomycetes; Russulales; Russulaceae.